UUUUUGAUUAAUAAUUUAAAGUCUAAUCUGCCCACUGAUAAAAAUUAAAGGGCUGCAGUAAUUUGACUGUACAAAGGUAGCAUAAUCAUUAGUCUCUUAAUUGGUGACUUGUAUGAAGGAUUUGAUGAAAUAUAAACUGUCUCUUAAUUAUUUAUUAAAAUUUAAUUUUUUAGUUAAAAAGCUAAAAUAAAUUUAAAAGACGAGAAGACCCUAUAGAGUUUUAUAAUUAAUAUAAUUAUUAUUUUAUUUGAAUUUUUAUAAAAUGAUUAUAUAAAUUAUUUUAUUGGGGUGAUAGAAAAAUUUAAUUAACUUUUUUUAAAAAUUAAACAUUUAUUUAUGAUUAUAUGAUCCAUUUUUAAUGAUUAUAAGAGAAAAUUACCUUAGGGAUAACAGCGUAAUUUUUUUUUUUAGUUCAAAUAAAAAAAAAAGUUUGCGACCUCGAUGUUGGAUUAAGAUAAAAUUUAAAUGCAAAAGUUUAAAAUUUUUGAUCUGUUCGAUCAUUAAAAUCUUACA
Molecule: ribosomal RNA, 513 nt
Filed under: Iphiclides podalirius (scarce swallowtail)
Lineage: Eukaryota; Metazoa; Arthropoda; Insecta; Lepidoptera; Papilionidae
Description: partial LSU rRNA
Rfam family: Bacterial large subunit ribosomal RNA (bases 386-513)
Source: RNAcentral